GCCGAAGUGGCGGAAUUGGCAGACGCGCUGGUCUCAAAAACCAGUGAGGUCACUCCUCGUGCCGGUUCGACCCCGGCCUUCGGCACCA
Molecule: transfer RNA, 88 nt
Filed under: Heliomicrobium modesticaldum Ice1
Lineage: Bacteria; Bacillati; Bacillota; Clostridia; Eubacteriales; Heliobacteriaceae
Description: tRNA-Leu (CAA) (tRNA-Leu-CAA-1-1)
Rfam family: tRNA
About the family: Transfer RNA (tRNA) molecules are approximately 80 nucleotides in length. Their secondary structure includes four short double-helical elements and three loops (D, anti-codon, and T loops).
Source: RNAcentral